AGCCUGCACAUCCCUGAACACUCUGGACAAUUUAGUAUAGCUAAUUCACCCAACCCAUUACAUCUUUGGACUGUGGGAGGAAACCGGAGCACCCGGAGGAAACCCACGCAGACACGGGGAGAAUGUGCAAACUCCACACAGGCAGACACUGUGGAUGGAACCAAACCUGGGUUGCUGGUGCUGUGAGGCAGAAGUGCUAAUCACUGAGCCACCAUGACACCUCAAUUUCUAUAACAUUUCCAGUAUAGUGCUGGGGAAAUUACCAUUUCAGUCUUUAAAUUGAACUACAUUUACUUAUGACAGAAAAAGCAAUUCUGUUGAUUUAAAAAAGUGUGAGUUGAACAUGGCAGUAAAAAUACUACGGACUAACUUUCCUUUUGUUGCUUAUUUCCAAUGAAGUGCUUAAUAUUAUUGAUUGAAAUGCCUCUGACAAGGAAUGCCUGAAAUCUUACUGAGCUACAGUGACCAGUGUUCCCUCAAAGCUGCACAGAGCGUAGUCCAGUAUAAAGAUUAAUGUUACCUCGCAAAAUUGAGGUAUUGGAAAGCCAAAUUUCAUUUUGGCAAGACAGACAAAUUAUUGCCAGAGCUGAACACUGGAGAGCCAGUCAGAUUACAAACCUUCAACGUUUUUGACAAGAAUCAGUUCAAGUGGCAAACUGGAUAAUACACAGCUCAGUUGUCAGCUCGAUUAAACAUGGUGGAAGUGAAUGAACAGAUAUAACAUAACAGUCACAGCUGCACAAUUGGAGAAGUUGAUACUUCAAUACAGGCAACUCCUUAGCUUGAACUCAUAAGCCACAACUUAGCUAUUAGUCCCAGAGGUCCAGAGCGCCCAUCAACAGAAAGAGAACAACAGGUACUGCAGCGACAAGUGAAUUACCCAAGUGAACAGCCAAUGACAACAAAUAUAAGUGACUAGCUGGAUUGUGUGCCAGAUACAUUUGCAGAGACGGAAGAGAAUAAUGAUUGUUAACAUAAGCCAACAGCUGAGUAACUCGCGAUGCAAAUGUUAAUGCGUACAACUUGUCUUGUACAAAAAGGGAGAUGUUUGGGAUAGAAAAGAAUUACUGUGCUUAUAUGCCUCCUGUCUUGCUGUAGUUAUAUGACCUCUCCCAUGAGGUAGUCCCUGCAAGCAAUUAUCUUCCAGUCGGUUCAGUAAGGUACAGCACAAGCGAGAUUGUUAUCCUGUUCAGCUGUGACAAGCUCAAUGCUCCAGAUGUCUCCCUUCUCCAGCUCCCUCACACAUUCUUUUAGCUCCUCGAUGACCUUCAAUGUUGGCAUUACAUUAAGCAACAUUAACUAAACAUUCCAAGACCCAAAAGAACUCCAGAACAUAUGUUUCACAGCAUAAGAUAAACUAAGAACACAAAAUAGUUUUGAAUAUGUACUGCCAUAUUUAUCCUCAGCGAAGAAUAAAUAUAUACACAGGAAAAUUGAAACCUUUCCAUGCUGUUUUAUGUGAUAACAGUGCAGCCUUACAGAUUUGUUAACAUUCUUGUCAGGUAGCGAUAGAUUUGCCCCUCCAGUCUUUUAAACUACAAAACUAAAAAUGAACUCAAAUGAACUUCUUAAUCAAUCUCCCAACCUCAAUCUCUAGCACAGAAUAUAUUCUGCACACCGAAGCAAGCAACAGAUCUGGUUGUGGAGUGCCCACAAGAUUGAUAAACGCCAUAAGUAGAAUUAAAUGAAUUUGAAUGACUA
This is a long non-coding RNA of Rhincodon typus (whale shark), 1701 nucleotides long. RefSeq lists it as uncharacterized. The transcript has 3 exons. Lineage: Eukaryota; Metazoa; Chordata; Chondrichthyes; Orectolobiformes; Rhincodontidae. The record is from RefSeq and is a predicted model, not a curated record.